Molecule: ribosomal RNA, 405 nt
Filed under: uncultured Thecofilosea
Lineage: Eukaryota; Cercozoa; Thecofilosea
Description: partial small subunit ribosomal RNA
Rfam family: Eukaryotic small subunit ribosomal RNA
Source: RNAcentral
GCUUGUCUCAAAGAUUAAGCCAUGCAUGUCUAAGUAUAACUCUUUUACUUUGAAAACUGCGAACGGCUCAUUAUAUCAGUUAUAGUUUCUUUGAUAGUCCCUUACUACUUGGAUACCCGUAGUAAUUCUAGAGCUAAUACAUGCGUAAAAUCCCGACUCUCGCGGGGAGGGAUGUAUUUAUUAGAUAAAAAACCAAUGCGGGGCAACCCGGUUUUGUGGUGAAUCAUAGUAACUUUUCGGAUCGCAUAGCUUCACGCUGGCGAUAGUUCAUUCAAAUUUCUGCCCUAUCAGCUUUCGACGGUAGUGUAGUGGACUACCGUGGCGUUAACGGGUGACGGAGAAUUAGGGUUCGAUUCCGGAGAGGGAGCCUGAGAAACGGCUACCACAUCCAAGGAAGGCAGCAGG